GUGCCUACGGGGCGCAGCAGUAGGGAAUCUUCCACAAUGGGCGAAAGCCUGAUGGAGCAACGCCGCGUGGGUGAAGAAGGUCUUCGGAUCGUAAAACCCUGUUGUUAGAGAAGAAAGUGCGUGAGAGUAACUGUUCACGUUUCGACGGUAUCUAACCAGAAAGCCACGGCUAACUACGUGCCAGCAGCCGCGGUAAUACGUAGGUGGCGAGCGUUAUCCGGAUUUAUUGGGUUUAAAGGGUGCGUAGGCGGAGUGUCAAGUCAGCGGUAAAAUUUCGGGGCUCAACCCCGUCGUGCCGUUGAAAC
Molecule: ribosomal RNA, 305 nt
Filed under: uncultured bacterium
Lineage: Bacteria
Description: bacterial SSU rRNA
Rfam family: Bacterial small subunit ribosomal RNA
Source: RNAcentral